CAGCACCUCGAGUGGUCAGGAGGUUUAUUGGGCCUAAAGCAUCCGUAGCCGGUUGUUUAAGUCUUCGGUUAAAUCUAUGCGCUUAACGUAUAGGCCGCCGAAGAUACUGGACAGCUAGGGAGUGGGAGAGGUACACGGUACUCAAUAGGAAGGGGUAAAAUCCUUUGAUCUAUUGAUGACCACCUGUGGCGAAGGCGGUGUACCAGAACACGUUCGACGGUGAGGGAUGAAAGCUGGGGGAGCAAACCGGAUUAGAUACCCGGGUAGUCCCAGCUGUAAACGAUGCAGACUCGGUGAUGCAUUGGCUUGUGGCCAAUGCAGUGCCGCAGGGAAGCCGUUAAGUCUGCCGCCUGGGAAGUACGUACGCAAGUAUGAA
This 376-nucleotide ribosomal RNA is filed under the name uncultured bacterium. Its description in RNAcentral is "bacterial SSU rRNA". It matches the Rfam family "Archaeal small subunit ribosomal RNA", at positions 477 to 853 of the family's 1478-position model. The record is from RNAcentral.